This 2693-nucleotide ribosomal RNA is filed under the name Triticum aestivum (bread wheat). Its description in RNAcentral is "partial small subunit ribosomal RNA". Lineage: Eukaryota; Viridiplantae; Streptophyta; Magnoliopsida; Poales; Poaceae. The record is from RNAcentral.
GGAGAGAGCAAGUGGCUCAACUUGCUGACAUGAAACAAGGUAACCCAGUCAGACACGGCACUUGACUUAGCUAGCUAGCUACAAAUUGGAGUCCAGCUAGCAUUGAUCCACUUCUCUUUCUCUCUCUUCCCGUGCAACUUCGAUCCCCAUUUCUCUUCCCGUGCAAAUCUGGCUGCCGGGGAGGCAUUGAGGAGGGAAGGAGGCAGCAGCGUACGUGCGAGCGCCGCAAGCCACAGCCAGGGCUGGCCGACCGACGGCAGCCACGUCGCUGGUCGCCCCUUGCUCAGCCGGUCAGCCCAGAGUGGCAACGGCGCAACCGCAAUCGCAACUCCGUCGCUGAGUCGCCGUCCGUCCGCUCGUGAGACGCAGAGGACGCGAGCAACCCAGCAGGUAGGGUCUUCAGACACUCGGUGCUGUGCAGGUCAUCAGGCCAAAUUUGGAUUUCACGACUGGAGUUUGGUCUGUAUAGCAGUUUCCAACUUCUUGCUUGUUCUGCAUAUCGCUAUCACCCCACAGGCACGUAUCAAAACCUUGUAUCAUAUAUUAUCGUUGAGUUUUGAUACAUCAGUCAGACUUAUCAGAUUUCGUGCAAGCUCAAUUGGUCAUUUGAGGGAGGUCAACUAGGAAAGAAAGCAGUUCUUCCUGUAAAAUAUAGACAUUGAUUUUCUUCUUCAGGUAACCAUUUGGGUUCAUUCUCUACCAGAGAAAGGAAUAACAUGGACGAUGUAAGUGCAGUGCCAAGGGUUAUGUCGUUCCAGUUAUUAAAUGAAAUUACAAAAAAUUUCUCUACGGAAAUGAAAAUUGGCGCUGGAUCAUUCGGAAAUGUUUAUAAGCAUACAGAUGGGGAAUGGAUUGCUGUGAAGCUGCUUCAUAAUUACAUUCCAGGACUUGAAGAUGAGCAAUUUGAGAAGGAGUAUCACAAUCUCGCAAAUCUGCAACACAACAAUAUUGUGCGGUUAGUUGGCUAUAGUCAUGAAACUCGGCGAGAAUUCCUACCUUAUAAUGGUGACCUGGUCUUGGCUGACAUUACACAGAGAGCACUUUGCUUUGAAUAUAUGCAAAAUGGAAGCCUUGACAAAUUUCUUACUGAUGAAUCUAAGGGACAUGAUUGGCGCACACGCUAUGCAAUAAUUAAAGGAAUUUGUCAGGGUUUGAAAUAUCUUCAUGAGGAAUUGCAAACUCCAAUGUAUCAUUUGGAUUUAAAACCAGCCAAUGUACUGCUAGAUGAAAAUAUGGUGCCCAAAAUCGCGGAUUUUGGCUUGUCAAGGCUCUUCGGAGGAGAACAGUCAAAAUUCACAAAAAGUGACAUAGGAACACGUGGGUAUGUACCACCGGAAUAUAUAGACGCCUGUAUAAUCUCCAUUAAGUUUGACAUAUUCAGUUUGGGUGUGGUAAUUAUAAAGAUAAUGGCAGGACCAACGGCAUACUUUCGAAGUGCUGAAAUGUCUCCCCAAGAAUUCAUAGAGAUUGUACAUGCUUACUGGAACACUAAGCUACAAACAACACUGGUUCACGCAUUGGAGCCAUAUUCCAAACAAGUAAAGAGAUGCAUAGAAAUAGCUUUAAAUUGUGUGGAUGCAGAUCGACACAAAAGACCAAGUAUAGGGGAAAUCAUUAAUGUUUUGAAUGAGAUGGAGACUGCAAUACAAGUCCCUGGCGCUUCAAUGAAUCACACAGGAUCAUCGAUGAACAAGAUAAAUAGCGACCAGGAAAGAGAGUUCCUAAUUAGGGAUGCAAAGGAAACGCUGGAUUAUGUACAUCGAGGACAAGGGAACACAUCAUUCGAGGACUGCCGACAAACUCACAUAGCAGAACUAGAAGAACAAGAGAGGAAAAGACUGAGCACGGCGGUGAAUAUCUUUGGUGAAGUAGUUGACAACUACAAGUUGGAUCAAAUGCCAGAGUACAUGGGGAAACCUAAGAAGCGGGAAGACCGAGCACGCGAGGCCUUGAAUCUGAUGUGCGAAGACCGCAAAGAUGUCAUGGCUUGCAGGUACUUGUGUCCCAAGGUAAUCAUCCAAGUCUAUUGGCCGCGGGCCACGCAGUGCUUCAUCUAUAACGCGACCGGCGACACCCUCUACCACGUCGGCAACCAUGACUGGUCUGGGCAUAUCCUCAAUGGCAGGGGCUACCCUGAACGGAUUGGCAAUGGGCAGUGGGCUGCCUUCGUUCACUGCCAAGGGUCAUUUUCAGGUUCGAUGGCAUCGGUUAUCUACCGUGGCAAGAACAAAGAUGGUGGAGACCAGCACUACCUGGUUUCCUGGAGUAACCCAAUUAGAUAUACUUUUGGGUCCAACAAGGCUUAUUGCGGGAUCGGCCCUGUAGACUACUUCCAUACACGUUGGGAUCAUACACACGAGAACCUUUCAAAUUCAGAUAACUAUUCAUACGCCAAGUCUGACGGAUGCGAGAUUGAUUCAAAAAUUGGCAAGCGUGAUGCCCCAUUUUUUACUGCAAAGAUCACCUCACUGGUUGGUCAUCUCCAGCAUUGUGCAAGGAUCUAUAUGGAUAAAUAGAUAGUCAGUUAAUUCCGUUUGUGAUGCCGAAUGGUGGUAUUCUUACGAUCACUUGUAAUGGAGUUAACUUUUUCCCAUGUCAUCGUUGACGGGUGGGCCACCUCUGUCAUAAUCGCAAUAAAUUUCGUCGAAACUGGCAACUAAUCUGAAGUGGUAGUAAUAUGCGACGAAUUAUCC